AAAGAGUUAUUGUUACAAAGAUUCCAAGAGAUAGAGCAAACAGCUAGGGAACAAGCAACCGAUAAUGCUAUAUUAGAUCAUACUAGUAUUUCUAAGAUGGUAGAAGUUGAUAUACCUCGAUCCUUGUUUGAGGAACAAGGUAGACAGCAAGUAUCACCAUAUUGUUUUUCCAACACUAUUUUCUUUGAUCCAAAACCAACAACUUGAUCGACCUCUGAUUCUUCAUCUUCAUAAGUUCAUAUACCUUUUCAAACAUAAAUUUCAAUUCAACUUGUACAAAUUUGCUACCCAGCCUCUAACCCCAAAAUUUGUUCAUAAAACCUCAAGCUUUUUCUUAGUUCUUCCUAGUACCAUGUUACCAUAUCCGUUGCCGGAGAUCCUUUUGCUGGAGUUGAAGCUACUGCUUUGUAGGACAAUAGCUUCUUUUUGUGUUCAUGGUCGACUGUAAUUUCUUUGAUUAAGACCAUAUUUAUUGAGGAAAUCUUGAUGCACGAGUCUUAUGGGCAAGAUCUCCCCGGAUUUAAUCAAGAUAAAUUGGUAUCAACUUUCUCGCUUUAUCAACCAAGACAUAUUCAGCAGCAGAGACCCA
Trifolium pratense (red clover) is the source of this 589-nucleotide long non-coding RNA. RefSeq lists it as uncharacterized. The record is from RefSeq and is a predicted model, not a curated record. The transcript has 3 exons. Lineage: Eukaryota; Viridiplantae; Streptophyta; Magnoliopsida; Fabales; Fabaceae.